AGCGAACGCUGGCGGCAGGCCUAACACAUGCAAGUCGAACGGAUCCUUCGGGAUUAGUGGCGGACGGGUGAGUAACACGUGGGAACGUGCCCUUUGGUUCGGAACAACUCAGGGAAACUUGAGCUAAUACCGGAUGUGCCCUUCGGGGGAAAGAUUUAUCGCCAUUGGAGCGGCCCGCGUCUGAUUAGCUAGUUGGUGAGGUAACGGCCCACCAAGGCGACGAUCAGUAGCUGGUCUGAGAGGAUGAUCAGCCACACUGGGACUGAGACACGGCCCAGACUCCUACGGGAGGCAGCAGUGGGGAAUCUUGCGCAAUGGGCGAAAGCCUGACGCAGCCAUGCCGCGUGAAUGAUGAAGGUCUUAGGAUUGUAAAAUUCUUUCAGCGGGGACGAUAAUGACGGGACCCGCAGAAGAAGCUCCGGCUAACUUCGU
Molecule: ribosomal RNA, 432 nt
Filed under: uncultured bacterium
Lineage: Bacteria
Description: partial 16S ribosomal RNA
Rfam family: Bacterial small subunit ribosomal RNA
Source: RNAcentral